GACACUGGUGGAGUUUCUGUACCUGGGUGUGUAGGGAGGAGGAAGCUGGGGCAGUGUCAGCCGGGAACACCAUGUCCCUCACUCCCGGCACACAGGCCACCCUCCACUAUGGCGUUGUACUGGAUGUGGGGAGAGGGACGACGAUUCAAUGCCAAUGGUUCAAUGAGCCGAUCGUCCCCAUGUAUUCGGUGUUAGGUUUCCGUAUUCUGGCCUUACUGUGUCGAAGUUUGAUCCACGGAGAGGACAUCGACAUGACUGA
Haliotis rubra (blacklip abalone) is the source of this 259-nucleotide long non-coding RNA. RefSeq lists it as uncharacterized. The record is from RefSeq and is a predicted model, not a curated record. Lineage: Eukaryota; Metazoa; Mollusca; Gastropoda; Lepetellida; Haliotidae. The transcript has 2 exons.